RNAcentral lists this ribosomal RNA (576 nucleotides) under Triticum aestivum (bread wheat). RNAcentral's name for it is "partial small subunit ribosomal RNA". Lineage: Eukaryota; Viridiplantae; Streptophyta; Magnoliopsida; Poales; Poaceae. The record is from RNAcentral.
AUGUGUGUGGUGCGUCCUGGGAUGUCUGUGGAGAGGGCCCGACCACCCUUUUAUUUUUCAUCCAUUGUAACCACAUACCUCAAAUAUCACACUAUAAAUCCAUAUUACAUCAUGCAACACAAAAGCUACAUACCUAGAAACUAUCCUUCUACUACUUGUCAUCGGAGACCUUUGUGUCGGCAGUACCGGAUAGACCGACCUCCUGGUCGUUGGCCGCCGCGUGCAACUUCGGCUCCUCGUCUGACUCCAUGUCUACGAAGAGUUCGUCGCGCUCUGUCUGCACCUCACGUUGGAAGCGACGGUUGGCCCUCCACCUCCGCCUCUGGCUGGAUGGAGUCGAGGAUGGCCUGCUACUCCACCGCCUCCUCCGCUUGCGCGUCGCCCAUGACGAAUCUAGGAGCCGAGGACGCCAGAUUUGCCUUGUGUUCCUCCUCUUCCUCCUCCAUGUCCGCGUCCAGCACCUGUUCCUUCUCCUCAUCCUCCUCCUCUAGCAGGUUGGCUACAAUUCAAGCAGCGUGUCGGGCCUGGAUCUCCGCUAGGAGCACCAACCGGCGCUCCAAAAUAAGCAUGAUGUAG